CUUAUCAAGAGUGGUGGAGGGAUCGGCCCGAUGAAGCCCAGCAACCUGUGCAUAUUUUGCGUAAGGUGCUAAUUCCGGCGGUGAAAUAUCGAAAGAUGAGG
This 101-nucleotide non-coding RNA is filed under the name human gut metagenome. RNAcentral's name for it is "SAM riboswitch (S box leader)". It matches the Rfam family "SAM riboswitch aptamer (S box leader)". Rfam says of the family: The SAM riboswitch is found upstream of a number of genes which code for proteins involved in methionine or cysteine biosynthesis in Gram-positive bacteria. The SAM riboswitch acts at the level of transcription termination control. The record is from RNAcentral.